GACGUCCUCAUGUGAUAGCCUCACUGUCUGGAUGUCCCUCCUCCUCCCACUCUGGAACUAUAUUUAAAUGACUACUUGUUAAAUUAAUUUGCUGAAGGUCUGUCCUCUCUACCAGAUUGUCAUGCAGGCAAGCCUCAUUCAUUCACCGACUGCUCCUCUCACACCCAGCAAGGCACCUUGGAAAUAGGAGGAUUUCUCUCAAUAAAUGUGUUGAUUUGCUCUAUGAUGGUUCUCAAACACUACCAUGAAAGAAAAUGAUCCGCUGAAUAGUAUGGCCUGAAGAUUCUCUGCUCCUGGAGAGCAGUGAUUGAGGACCUUGGCAUAAGAUGCUCCAGGAAUAGAACCAACAGAGCUUGAGGAUUGUCUAAUGUACCCACUGGCUUUUGGGUUCAAAACCAUUCCUUAAAAACAGUGAGAUUUUUCAUGUUUUAGUUGAAAAGUCUACAAAAUAUGAGAAACUGCACAUUUUGAUAGGUUCGUUUUUUAUUUUUAUUUUUUUCAUUCUAUGUUGUACGUUAAUGUAUUGGGUUUUCUUUAUUUUUGGCCAACCUCUGAAAAUCCAUAAGGCAUUUCAAGAAAAUAAUAAAUUUUACCAUUGAAAACUUC
Canis lupus familiaris (dog) is the source of this 606-nucleotide long non-coding RNA. RefSeq lists it as uncharacterized. NCBI's taxonomy places the organism in Eukaryota, Metazoa, Chordata, Mammalia, Carnivora, Canidae. The transcript has 2 exons. The record is from RefSeq and is a predicted model, not a curated record.